Molecule: small nucleolar RNA, 106 nt
Organism: Lathyrus oleraceus (garden pea)
Lineage: Eukaryota; Viridiplantae; Streptophyta; Magnoliopsida; Fabales; Fabaceae
Source: RefSeq, a predicted model, not a curated record
ACCCAUGAUGUGGAAAAAGUCUCAUCAUAUCCUUGUAUCUUUCCCAUGCUUCAAAAAGUUAUUCUCUAUCUUUUUGUUUGAAUCUGUUGAUUUGACUUCUUAGCAU